UACGGAGGGUGCGAGCGUUAAUCGGAAUUACUGGGCGUAAAGCGCAUGCAGGCGGUCUGUUAAGCAAGAUGUGAAAGCCCGGGGCUCAACCUCGGAACAGCAUUUUGAACUGGCAGACUAGAGUCUUGUAGAGGGGGGUAGAAUUUCAGGUGUAGCGGUGAAAUGCGUAGAGAUCUGAAGGAAUACCGGUGGCGAAGGCGGCCCCCUGGACAAAGACUGACGCUCAGAUGCGAAAGCGUGGGGAGCAAACAGGAUUAGAUACCCGGGUAGUCC
This 273-nucleotide ribosomal RNA is filed under the name uncultured bacterium. RNAcentral's name for it is "partial 16S ribosomal RNA". It matches the Rfam family "Bacterial small subunit ribosomal RNA", at positions 524 to 796 of the family's 1533-position model. The record is from RNAcentral.